Molecule: RNA transcript, 848 nt
Organism: Zingiber officinale
Lineage: Eukaryota; Viridiplantae; Streptophyta; Magnoliopsida; Zingiberales; Zingiberaceae
Gene name: flavanone 3-dioxygenase 2-like
Exons: 4
Source: RefSeq, a predicted model, not a curated record
CCGGGGAAAGCCUGUUUAGGCUACCCUGUUUUAAUGAGGAAAAGUUUUAUUUCCUUUUCUUUUUUUCUUUUUCUUUUCUACUUCUCUUAUUCUUUCCCCCCGCGAGCCGUGCGUGCCCUAUUUCCCCGACCCCGAGCGGUUUCCCUUUUCUUCCUCUCUUCUCACUCGGAGCCGAUCCACUUUUCUUGCUCCUGUGCCCUAGCGCCGAGCCGCACUGCCGACGCUACUGCCGCCAGCGAUGCCGAGCGCCGGCCACCAGGACCGGUACCAAUCGUCAGUGCCCUAGCCUCAGCCCGCGACACCCAUCUCCUCGGGUCGCCACCGCUGGCAGCGGCGUUGCCAGCCGAAGCCCUAGAGUCGAUUCCUCUCUUCCUCGCUUCUCCUGAACGUCGGCAGAUGACCUAUUGCCUCUGCCCUAGCUUGGAUCGCGAGCCCUCCUCUGCGCCCUAGCUCCCUGAUUUGAGGAGUUUCCUCUUCUGCCAUUGCUGAGAGCCGAGAGCCGCCGUCGCACGGAGAGUGCCGGCCACCCUUCCUCUGCCCUCGAGGCCGAGCCACAUUGUCGAGUUCUCUUUUCCCUUCGUGCCGUCUGCUCUAGUCGCCUUGCACCGUCACCACAGCCGAACCACUUCACCGGCCACCAGGAUUUUGUGCUGUGGAGUGUCUGAUUUCCAGGUGCUAAUCCUCUCCGGCAGUAAAUUGCCUUGGCUGUGAUUGAAGGUUAUUGCUUGGAUUCCAGCAACUACCUCUGUUCCGGCAGCAACGUUACCGGUUGAGGCUUCAGAAUUAGGGUUUUGACACGAGACGAGCAUCUCGACGUCCGAGUUGGACCGGACUGAUCUUAUUUUCCU